Cyprinus carpio (common carp) is the source of this 1644-nucleotide long non-coding RNA. Lineage: Eukaryota; Metazoa; Chordata; Actinopteri; Cypriniformes; Cyprinidae. The record is from Ensembl.
AUGAGCAUGUCCACUGGAGGAGUAGUGCCAGCUCCGCUCUGCCAGGGCUUUCUGAAGAAACGGAAAGACAAAAUGAGGCUUCGGUGGAUGACUUACUGGUUCAGACUUUACAAUACAACUCUCUUUUUCUACACUAAAAAACAUGGGAGUGCUAUAGACCUCAGAGGCCAGUAUUACAUAUAUGAGAUUCAGUCUGUGCGGGAGGUCAGCAGAUCUGAGAGCAAUCACUAUCUAUUUGAGAUCACAAUGAAAAAUGGGAAGAAGAAAAUGCUGGCAGCAGAUACAGCUGAUGUCAGGCAGGAGUGGAUGGAGCAGCUGUGGAAAGCCAUGCUGCUCAAUGGCCCUGACAGAUCUGGAUCUAUCACUAAUGGGGAGCUGCUGCCAGAUAACAACCUUGAAAUUCGGUCAAGCCAUUGUGAAGAAUCAAGUACUGAGACCAGCAGCACUUCAGUGGACAGAUGUCUCUCCAUUGAUCAAGAGUCAUUCUUCGCUGGUACUGUCUGCAUUCGGGUUGCUGAUGAGACACAAGACAGUUUGCACACAAAAAAUGAAAUGGAGCAAAGUACUGAGGAGUUUUUACUGACGGACCAUGACUACGAUGUUUUACCAUCUCGAAUAGGUGUGUAUAAUGAUUAUUAUUUUAUUUUUAUUUUUUUUGGCAGUGCUUGUUUAAAUAUAAUAUUGUUUAUUAACAGUAAUGAGGGGUCAACAGAGUGAGGAUCCAUUUAUUUUAAAAGAAGAGCAUAAAUACAGGCAGGUUCAAUCGCCAGUAGUCAGGGUUAUCAGAAACGAGACCAAAGCAGAAUCAGAGUCCCAACAACAGAGCAAGGAGAUGGAAGCAGGCAGCAAACAUUCAUGAAACAGGUAACAGUCUAAGGUCAAACAUGGUAAUCCAACAGAGAAGUACAAGGAAACACUCCAGCAAAUGUCAGCCAGUGAAGGUUGCAGGUGGAUAGCCAGACCCAUUGUCCAGGAGCAUACUCUGGAGUGGGAUGUCGGUGACGGUCAGCCUGUUUCUUUUGUCUCCAGACAGCAUGUUUCAGGCAGAUUCCCCCCUCUUAAUCAUGGACGUUAGUGGAGCUGCAAUGGAACUAAAGUCUGAUGAAAUGUCUAUAAAAAAAAAAAAAAAAAAAAGCUAAUCCUAGUGAGCAUUGCAUCUCCUUCACCGUCAUUGAUUGAAGCCAGUCAAAGACUGCUUGCACCUUGUGAUCGUCCAUGGCCAUGCCUUCCGAGCUGAUUACAUAUCCGAGGAAUGUCAUUGAUUUCUGUUGGAAUUCACAUUUUUCAGCUUUCGCAUACAGUUGGUGGGGAAAUCAAACAUUGAAGAACAGCCUGGACAUUAUGAAUUGUGUGUUGAUUGUGUUGUUUGGAUUGAAGAACUAUGCAGUUGUUGCCUUUAAUUUCACAUGGUUACAGUUAAUCUUUUCAUUUAAGGCCAGUUCUAUGUAGUUUCAACCCAAUUCAAAAACAAAAGCUAAAUGCUGAUGUCUGUACCAUCUAGUUUGUAUUGAAUGUAGGCUACUUACUGUGCAGUCACUGCCGUUAAUUUCAGAUGAUUACGGUUAUUGUUUUCAAUAGCCAAAAGCCAGUUUGGCUUAUUAAAUACCAAAUAAACAUCUUGUUUAUGUAUAUUUUCCUUCUUUC